GGAAUAUUGCACAAUGGGGGAAACCCUGAUGCAGCGACGCCGCGUGAGUGAAGAAGCAUUUCGGUGCGUAAAGCUCUGUCAGCAGGAAAGAAAGUGACGGUACCUGACCAAGAAGCCCCGGCUAACUACGUGCCAGCAGCCGCGGUAAUACGUAGGGGGCAAGCGUUAUCCGGAUUUACUGGGUGUAAAGGGAGCGUAGACGGCGCGGCAAGUCUGAAGUGAAAGGCGGGGGCCCAACCCCCGGACUGCUUUGGAAACUGUCAUGCUUGAGUGCGGGAGGGGUAAGCGGAAUUCCUAGUGUAGCGGUGAAAUGCGUAGAUAUUAGGAGGAACACCGGUGGCGAAGGCGGCUUACUGGACCGUAACUGACGUUGAGGCUCGAAGGCGUGGGGAGCAAACA
RNAcentral lists this ribosomal RNA (399 nucleotides) under uncultured bacterium. RNAcentral's name for it is "bacterial SSU rRNA". It matches the Rfam family "Bacterial small subunit ribosomal RNA", at positions 358 to 774 of the family's 1533-position model. The record is from RNAcentral.